UACAGAGGCCUCGAGCGUUAGGCGGAAUCACUGGGCUUAAAGCGUGUGUAGGCGGACUUCUAAGUACCUUGUGAAAUCCCACGGCUCACCCGUGGAACUGCUGGGCAUACUGGGAGUCUUGAGCCACCUAGGGGCGAGCGGAACAAAUGGUGGAGCGGUGAAAUGCGUAGAUAUCAUUUGGAACGCCAACGGAGAAAUCAGCUCGCUGGGGGUGUGCUGACGCUGAGACACGAAAGCCAGGGGAGCGAACGGG
RNAcentral lists this ribosomal RNA (253 nucleotides) under uncultured bacterium. RNAcentral describes it as "partial 16S ribosomal RNA". It matches the Rfam family "Bacterial small subunit ribosomal RNA", at positions 524 to 776 of the family's 1533-position model. The record is from RNAcentral.